Molecule: ribosomal RNA, 120 nt
Filed under: Ochotona princeps (American pika)
Lineage: Eukaryota; Metazoa; Chordata; Mammalia; Lagomorpha; Ochotonidae
Source: RNAcentral
GUCUACAUCCAUAUCACCCUGAACGUGCCCGAUCUCAUCUGAUCUCGGAAGCUAAGCAGGGUUGGGCCUGGUUAGUACUUGGAUGGGAGACAUUGUAGCACUAACUGAAUGCUGAGUAUU